AAGUUCCUCCCCACCAUGAGGCCUACGCCAAGAAAAAUGCAAAGCCAGGGGCUUUCUGCAGUCCCUAAGGGUCACACGGGAUUUGUGAAAAUCACCAGAAGGCAGUCUAGGGGCUGUGGGGGUCACGACGGCCGGUCUGGGGAUGAUAGAAGUCACCAAAGGUCAAAGAGGGCGGUGUUAAGACCUGGCCUUAGCCUGGCUCCAGGAAGUGCCUUCGAUGCCAAAACCCAGUAGGAGGUGUGCAGGCCUCGGUACUUGGUAAGCAGAAAGCGCCCCGUUCCAACUCCAGAGAGCGCCCCUGGGAGACGGGGCUAAGCCGGAUGAUCUGGGCCUCGAGCCUCACCUCUACCCCAGGUGGAGACUCCAGCCUGUUUUCGUCGCCCUCCCAGCUUGACGACGGGCCUGUUGCCUGGAGAUGUGAGCGCACUGGCCGUGUAAUGGGGGCGUGAGGGCUGCAGAUCCUCAGUCUCUUCUCCAUCCGAGACAAGCAAACCAAUAAGGACCGUCGCGCGUGGAGGGCUCCCAACACCCUUUCGCCCGAUUGUGCUUAGUGAGGCUCCUUUACGGCGCGUUUCCAGACCGCUCCGGACUACCCUAAGUUCUCCCAUUUAUAUGACUGAGAAACUGAAGAGUCCGGCGGGAAGAAGGGACGUGGGGUUGUCAAGCCCGUGCCAAAACUGAGGCGAGAGCCGCGCCUCGCGUUUUCGUAAGAGCUGGGCUCUGCGUGGACCUUCGGACGGCGGAGAAAGAGCCCAGGGUGGAGGGGGCGCUUCCGACACCUUGACCACUGAACCCACACUUCAACGCGUCCCUACUUAACAGAUAAAGAGACUGAGGUGUCCAGUACGGAAGUGACUCGCGCCAGGACUCGGCGGUAUGGAGGGAGUGGGAAGUAGACAGGUAUUCCAGCCUCUACGGGCUACGGGCGAUUAGCGCUUCCCCAUGGUUUGGGCAGGUAUCCGCCCCUUUGGGGACCGCCCACUCGGGCGCCUGCCCGCUGGUCCCGACUGGCGGAAGCCCCAGGCCAAUCAGGCCCUGGGGGAGGGGGGAAACGUCGCUCUUCGGGUCCUGCACCCUUUUAGAUAAGCCUGGAAUGUCAAAUAUUUGUUCUCCGGGCAGGGCCCAACAACGAAGUAAGGCUCCUCCCGUACCCUUCCUGGAGCGCGCCUGCGCCAGGCGGAGUUGGGGCUUCCUCUAUCCAAGCCUUUGCAGUAAACUCUUCACCCCAGCGGCACUCCUAAACUCCCUUGACGUACAUUGUUCCUUGUCGGGCUCCUGUCUCCCGGAGUCACCACCCUGCCAUCUGGGUGCUUACUUGAUCUCGGUCUGACCCUUCCUGGCGCCCCCAUCCGUUCAACCUUCCCGCUAGGCCUUUCCGUAUUUU
Panthera uncia (snow leopard) is the source of this 1384-nucleotide long non-coding RNA. RefSeq lists it as uncharacterized. The transcript is spliced from 2 exons. Lineage: Eukaryota; Metazoa; Chordata; Mammalia; Carnivora; Felidae. The record is from RefSeq and is a predicted model, not a curated record.